GCCACCGUCGCAGCUGCCUCCGCCACCACCGCCGCCUCCUCUUCCUUGGCCACCCCAGAACUGGGCAGCAGCCUCAAGAAGAAGAAGCGGCUCUCCCAGUCAGAUGAGGAUGUCAUUAGGCUAAUAGGACAGCACUUGAAUGGCUUAGGGCUCAAGCAGAAAAUGACCUGAAUGAACUAAAGCCUUUAGUGCAUUCUCCUCAUGCUAUUGUGGUAAGAGGCGCACUUGAAAUCUCUCAAACGUUGUUGGGAAUAAUUGUGGCACAAACAUUUUCUGAAACUUCCAUCAACUUUUUUCCCCUGACUGCUGCUUUCUGUCAUGUCAGAGGAUGAAGUUUUUGCUGCUGCAGCAGAAGUACCUAGAAUACCUGGAGGAUGGCAAGGUCCUGGAGGCACUUCAAGUUCUACGCUGUGAAUUGACACCGCUGAAAUACAAUACAGAGCGCAUUCAUGUUCUUAGUGGGUAUCUGAUGUGUAGCCAUGCAGAAGACCUACGUGCAAAAGCAGAAUGGGAAGGCAAAGGGACAGCU
Molecule: small RNA, 529 nt
Filed under: Pongo abelii (Sumatran orangutan)
Lineage: Eukaryota; Metazoa; Chordata; Mammalia; Primates; Hominidae
Description: processed transcript
Source: RNAcentral